CCUACGGGAGGCUGCAGUGAGGAAUAUUGGUCAAUGGGAGAGAUCCUGAACCAGCCAAGCCGCGUGAGGGAAGACGGCCCUAUGGGUUGUAAACCUCUUUUGUCGGAGAACAAAACCCGGGACGUGUCCCGGACUGCGUGUAUCCGAAGAAAAAGCAUCGGCUAACUCCGUGCCAGCAGACGCGGUAAUACGGAGGAUGCGAGCGUUAUCCGGAUUUAUUGGGUUUAAAGGGUGCGUAGGCGGUCCGUUAAGUCAGCGGUAAAAUUGCGGGGCUCAACCCCGUCGAGCCGUUGAAACUGGCAGACUUGAGUUGGCGAGAAGUACGCGGAAUGCGCGGUGUAGCGGUGAAAUGCAUAGAUAUCGCGCAGAACUCCGAUUGCGAAGGCAGCAUACCGGCGCCAGACUGACGCUGAGGCACGAAAGCGUGGGGAUCGAACAGGAUUAGAUACCCCAGUAGUC
RNAcentral lists this ribosomal RNA (459 nucleotides) under uncultured bacterium. RNAcentral describes it as "partial 16S ribosomal RNA". It matches the Rfam family "Bacterial small subunit ribosomal RNA", at positions 338 to 795 of the family's 1533-position model. The record is from RNAcentral.